This 483-nucleotide ribosomal RNA is filed under the name uncultured bacterium. RNAcentral describes it as "bacterial SSU rRNA". It matches the Rfam family "Bacterial small subunit ribosomal RNA", at positions 28 to 526 of the family's 1533-position model. The record is from RNAcentral.
GACGAACGCUGGCGGCGUGCUUAACACAUGCAAGUCGAACGGUAAGGCCCCUUCGGGGGUACACGAGUGGCGAACGGGUGAGUAACACGUGAGUAACCUGCCCUUGACUCUGGGAUAACAUUUGGAAACAGAUGCUAAUACCGGAUAUCAACGCUUCAGGCAUCUGAGGCGUUUGAAAGCUCCGGCGGUCAUGGAUGGACUCGCGGCCUAUCAGCUUGUUGGUGAGGUAAUGGCUCACCAAGGCGAUGACGGGUAGCCGGCCUGAGAGGGCGACCGGCCACAUUGGGACUGAGAUACGGCCCAAACUCCUACGGGAGGCAGCAGUGGGGAAUAUUGCACAAUGGGCGCAAGCCUGAUGCAGCAACGCCGCGUGCGGGAAGACGGCCUUCGGGUUGUAAACCGCUUUCAGCAGGGACGAAGCGAAAGUGACGGUACCUGCAGAAGAAGCACCGGCUAACUACGUGCCAGCCGCCGCGGUAACAC